RNAcentral lists this long non-coding RNA (1419 nucleotides) under Sorghum bicolor (sorghum). RNAcentral describes it as "long non-coding RNA (SBIC_LNC008113)". Lineage: Eukaryota; Viridiplantae; Streptophyta; Magnoliopsida; Poales; Poaceae. The record is from RNAcentral.
GCCGUGUUUAGUUUCUAAAGACAAAAAUUUCGUGAUACUGUAGCACUUUCGUUUGUUUGUGUUAAUUAUUAUCUAACCAUGGACUAACUAUGCUCAAAAGAUUCGUCUCAUAAAUUUCAACUAAACUGUACAAUUAGUUUUUAUUUUUGUCUAUAUUUAAUACGUCAUGCAUGCGUCUAAAGAUUCGAUGUGAUGGAGAAUCUUGAAAAAUUUUAGGUUUUGGGGUGGAAGUAAACAAAGCCUAAGCAAUCUUGUACCCCAUAAAUUUCAUGUCUGUCGAUGCCUAGUUGCAAUCAGCACAGAUUAAUCGACCUGGACAAUGUAGUUUUCUCCAUUUUAUUCUAUUAGUUUAUUUCUGUUGUUUGAUUUUUGGUUUUAAAUUUCUUCUUUACAAGAAGGGAAUUUAGAUACAUGGAUCGCUUUGCUUUCGCUAUCAAGGUCUUAAUUUUUUUUCUUUUUUCCUGAGCUGAGAAUGUGCCUUUCAGGACCUUAUUGGUAGUUGUCCCAACACUUCGGCCUUUUAUUUGAGUGGGCCACGCUUCGAUGCUGCACUAAAAAGAGCAGCUAGUAGUCACUGAUCUUAAAUUAGGACUGUUUGAUAGGAUCCCUAAUUCCCUGAUUCCAUGUCAAAGACAAAAUUAUGUAGUCUAAAAAAAACAAAUUAUUUUAAGUAGUAGUCUCUAUUCGGAACCAUACAUUUCCAUGAUGGCUGUCAAUGAGUAAUCACUGUGCUAUCUAGCCUGCAGGAAACUGUGGUUGAAUUUUCUUAGCCCAUGACUCAAGUGUUCUUACACGCUGGAUUUCUUCAUGCAUGGUUCAGGCUUUGAACCAUGGCGCAAACUCUUUGUCUAAUUUCAAAAAUAGAGUUAUGGUUCCUCUGGUUCUCUUACUUGUGAGAAGGGUCAAGGACAGGAUCACAUGAAUGGUAAGGCAGUUUUUCACGGUGUGACUAGGUGACCAUGACUCUAGAGGUUUGGUCGAGAUGAGGAUUUUCGGAUGGCGAUUGUGGUGUAUCAAUGAUUAUGUAUCAAAUUAGGUGGGGCAAAAUCGCCAAUGAGAAUGAUAGAAUUAGAAUGUGACGGGAUGUCGCUGCUGAUCUAUUGUUCUAGACGAGGAAGAAGAGCAAUGUGGUUGUGGACUUGUAUGCACUUCUGAGGGCGAUAGAAGUAACUUGCAAGAAGAGUGAUUAUAUAUGGGUCAAGAUUUUACUAGUUGAAAGAAGUGAUUUUGUCUUGAACUGCAUGCUAACAAUUGAUACUUCGAUGCUUUCAAAUAUAAACUAAUAGAAAUAACACAUCAGCUCGCUCAUGAAUUUAGUAUCAGCUCAACAAUUAUUUUUUGAUAACUAUCUUAAGAAGAACAAUCUAUAUAAGUCAAAUGUACUCCCUCUGUCCAGAAAAGAAUAUAACUAUAGGAAAC